GCCCGUUUAGCUCAGUGGUAGAGCGCGCCACUCGUAAUAAUGUAAUGGUGAGGUCGGUUGUUCAAUCCAGCCAAUGGGCA
Non-coding RNA from Irpex rosettiformis, 80 nucleotides. The record is from the annotation of a GenBank genome assembly. NCBI's taxonomy places the organism in Eukaryota, Fungi, Basidiomycota, Agaricomycetes, Polyporales, Irpicaceae.